UGGGGAAUAUUGCACAAUGGGCGCAAGCCUGAUGCAGCCAUGCCGCGUGUAUGAAGAAGGCCUUCGGGUUGUAAAGUACUUUCAGCGGGGAGGAAGGCGAUAAGGUUAAUAACCUUGUCGAUUGACGUUACCCGCAGAAGAAGCACCGGCUAACUCCGUGCCAGCAGCCGCGGUAAUACGGAGGGUGCAAGCGUUAAUCGGAAUUACUGGGCGUAAAGCGCACGCAGGCGGUCUGUCAAGUCGGAUGUGAAAUCCCCGGGCUCAACCUGGGAACUGCAUUCGAAACUGGCAGGCUAGAGUCUUGUAGAGGGGGGUAGAAUUCCAGGUGUAGCGGUGAAAUGCGUAGAGAUCUGGAGGAAUACCGGUGGCGAAGGCGGCCCCCUGGACAAAGACUGACGCUCAGGUGCGAAAACGUGGGGAGCAAACA
Molecule: ribosomal RNA, 427 nt
Filed under: uncultured bacterium
Lineage: Bacteria
Description: partial 16S ribosomal RNA
Rfam family: Bacterial small subunit ribosomal RNA
Source: RNAcentral